Molecule: ribosomal RNA, 253 nt
Filed under: uncultured bacterium
Lineage: Bacteria
Description: partial 16S ribosomal RNA
Rfam family: Bacterial small subunit ribosomal RNA
Source: RNAcentral
UACGUAGGGGGCUAGCGUUGUCCGGAUUUAUUGGGCGUAAAGAGCGUGUAGGCGGCCAGGUAGGUCCGCUGUGAAAGUCCGAGGCUCAACCUCGGAAUGUCGGCGGAAACCCUCUGGCUAGAGUCCGGAAGAGGAGAGUGGAAUUCCCGGUGUAGCGGUGAAAUGCGCAGAUAUCUGGAGGAACACCGGUGGCGAAGGCGGCAUCCUGGACCAACACUGACACUGAGGAGCGAAAGCCAGGGGAGCAAACGGG